Lepidothrix coronata (blue-crowned manakin) is the source of this 2221-nucleotide long non-coding RNA. RefSeq lists it as uncharacterized. The transcript has 3 exons. NCBI's taxonomy places the organism in Eukaryota, Metazoa, Chordata, Aves, Passeriformes, Pipridae. The record is from RefSeq and is a predicted model, not a curated record.
AAAACAUAAGAUCUUUCAUCAGGUUUGCACAGUUGGGUAUUUUAUCCUUUCUCUACAGCAUAUAGCAGGGGCUUAGGUAAAGCAGGCUGGAUGGUCCUUCUAAUUCAUGGGGGGUUAGUUUAGUUUGACUCUGAAAACAUAUCUUGGCCGAAGAGCUGCAUUUCUAAUGGCUGUGCAGUGUGUUGGGUGUCCUGCCAAAUAGCUGGGGACUGCAGCACUAUGUUGUUAAUUCCUUUCUGCCAGUGAGACAUUCCUGUUCAUCUCUUGGACAGUGUCAUAAGUCACUUAUUGGUCUUGCCUGUUGCUGGACACAGCUGAUAUGGUGUGAACUCAGGCAUAGUGUGUAUGCGAGUAGCCAUCGUGCCUUCCUAGGACCAACUCAAUUUAGCUAUUAUCCUAUAAAGAAAGAGAAAAGAACAUUGAACAAGCCAAAUUACAUUGGUGGGGUAAAAGCUUUGAAAUGCAAUGACUUUAGAUAUUGACAACUGACAGUUGCUUCAUCAAGGCACAGAAUUUUUUAAAGUAUUUGACAAGGAAAAUACAGAUGCAACAUGAUGAAUUUUCUUGUGGAACAUUUUAAUGGAUAUGCUCAGCUUUCCCAGUGGGAUCUUACUUUCUUAGAGCAGGGAUUAGUCACCAUUUACUUGAUUUGUCUGAACUUUCUGCCAAAAUCAACAAGGAAGGAAUUGACAGGACGGACUUUAGAAACAAGGACGUUGUGACAUGUUUGAAGAGAACGCAUGCUCAGAGGAGGGUCUGAUUUUGUUUCAAAAAGCAGCUUCUUAUCAGCAAAACAAGCUCUACUCUUUCCUGUAUGUGUCUUGUCUCUGCCUUGCAGCAAUGCUGAGAUGUUUCAUCUUGUGGGAAGCCAAGGGAAAGCGAUUUACUAAAGGCAGAACAACUUUGCACAUGUUAUUGCAACUCCAGUCAUUCUAUUGAAUUCAGCUAAGACAAGCACUAAAACCAGCUGUGACUGUAAGGAUUUGAAGUCUUUGCAGUUACUACAGGGUCUGUUCUCCUGAAUCAACACAUCCUGCAGCUUCUAUGACAAAGGGAAGAAGUACAUACUGUACAGCAGCACAGGAAAAUACUACCCUGCUCUGUGGUCAUGGGUGACAUGGGGGAAGACAUGUCAGUCUCCCAAGGCAAGUCAAUAGGGCAAAACUUCAGUCAUUGAAAAAUGCCAUUUUUUAAUACACAAAAAUCAAACUUUGCAAAGGAGAUGUGAGGCAGUGCACAGAGCAGUUAUAUCUUUCAGAAAUCUAACUGAACACAAGUAGCCAGGAGUCCAUGUACUAACUUAAAGCAGCAACGAUACCACUUCUCUCUCCAUUCUUCUCCUCGCUCUUCCCUGAAACACUGCAACCAAAACUGACAGCACACCACGUCUUCCCAAGCCCCAAUAUUCACUCACACAUAGAGGAGAACAUGGGAGGCUUUUUAAAAUCCCCCUGACAACUGGUACAAGAAAACUGUUUAACUAUUAGUGGAAUGUCCUCUCAUAAAAUGCCAAACAGUCUUGUGUUUUUCAGGUCAAAAGCUAACAAGAUGAACUGUGAGCUCUUAUUACUUUUCUGUUCAUCCACAGUAAAAAUAUAGAGUGCUUUAAAAAUGUUGAGAACAUGACAGUGAUUGACAAGAAAAGAAGGCAUGUAAGGAGAUACUGUGCUGAAGAAAUUUUAAUUAUUUUAAUUAUUUUUGUAAAACAAAAUUCAUACUGAUAGAGGUUCUUGCAUUUGCAGUGUCAGCCAGGAGCCAGGGCUGUUUUCUCAGCCAAGACCCUUACACACUCUGCCUUGCACCCUUAUGAAAGAACACCUAAUUUGGUGUCUUGCAGGAUUAUAAUGUGAAUUCCUUAGUUAAUUGCUGAAGAUGCUGUUCCCAUGCCCUAUGCUUAGUGCACUGAUUUGCAUGCUUACAAGACAAAAGCAAAUUGCAGAACAGAGAGAUCUGAAUGUAAACCCAUUGCUAAACUUUGGCCUGGAAGCAUCAAAUUGUUCUUCUGAUCUUUCACAUUUACAGAAGGAAAUGUAGCUAAAGGCACGUGUAUGCAACUGUGAAGCCUUGGAGAUCCUCUGGAGAUGGAUGCAGGCAGGGCAAUCCAGCUUGGAAGUCCCCAAGAGCAGCAUAACAAGUGUAUAAUCAUUAUGUCCUUCUACUUAUUCUGGCCUUGUAUAAGAUGAAGCUGUGUGUCAUAUACUUAAUAUUAAAUGGACUGAAA